This 835-nucleotide ribosomal RNA is filed under the name Triticum aestivum (bread wheat). RNAcentral describes it as "partial small subunit ribosomal RNA". The record is from RNAcentral. Lineage: Eukaryota; Viridiplantae; Streptophyta; Magnoliopsida; Poales; Poaceae.
GUACAGGUGCAGGGGCUGUAGAUGGCCAAAGGCGUAGGGAAAAUCUUUCACAGCGAUGACAAAAGAAUGGAUUUUUACAUAAUAGAAGUACUCUACUUACAUAGUACUAUAUAUCCAUCAUCACAGUAUUUACAUGAUAUAAUUUCUCCAUUUACACGAUAUAACAUCACAAAAAAAAUUAUUACAAAAUUGAUGAACUGGCCCUUGCCAGCGCAGAUCUGAGAGCAGGCCUCGAGCUCGAGGAGGCGAACGGUGGUCUUCGGGAGGAUUUGGCCAUGGCUCCAUGGAGCCCUGGAUCGGGAGGAGGAUCCCUCUGCUGACUCCGGCUUAGGCAGUGGCGAGGCAGGGCCAACCAGGCAGAGGUUGUGCUGCAGAGGAGCUCCGGCGAGCUGUUGACAAAGCAACGACGCCGCCGUGUCGAAGGGCACCGGCGGUUGAUGAGAAGGGGAGAGCCAUGGGCUCGUGGGCGAGGAGGAGGAACCCGUGCCGGCGAGGGGGGGUCGACCAGCGAUGGUCGACGAGCAGGGAAGGAGGAGGCACCGGGCCGCGAGCGGGGAGGAGGAGGAGGAGGACCCAGCGGCGGCCUCCGGCUCAGGUGACGGUGAGGUGGGGUCGAGCGGCGAGGGCUGACAAGCAGGGGAGGAGGAGGAGGAUCCCGCUCCAUCCUCGGCUCAGGCGGCGGCGAGGCGGGAUCGACCGCGGCGGUUGACGAGGAGUGGACGAGGAGGAGGCCUGGACCGGGCGUGGGGUGUGCGGCAGGGAAGAUGUGGAUCGAGGUAAGGAUGGGGUUGGCAUGGGAGAGAUCGUGGUGGGCCUUAGGGAUAAGAUAGAGAGA